ACGAACGCUGGCGGCGUGCCUAAUACAUGCAAGUCGAGCGGACGGAUGGGAGCUUGCUCCCAGACCGUCAGCGGCGGACGGGUGAGUAACACGUGGGCAACCUGCCUGUAAGACUGGGAUAACUCCGGGAAACCGGGGCUAAUACCGGAUAACUCUUUCCCUCACAUGAGGGAAAGCUGAAAGAUGGCAUCUCGCUAUCACUUACAGAUGGGCCCGCGGCGCAUUAGCUAGUUGGUGAGGUAACGGCUCACCAAGGCGACGAGGCGUAGCCGACCUGAGAGGGUGAUCGGCCACACUGGGACUGAGACACGGCCCAGACUCCUACGGGAGGCAGCAGUAGGGAAUCUUCCGCAAUGGACGAAAGUCUGACGGAGCAACGCCGCGUGAGUGAUGAAGGUUUUCGGAUCGUAAAACUCUGUUGUCAGGGAAGAACAAGUACCGGAGUAACUGCCGGUACCUUGACGGUACCUGACCAGAAAGCCACGGCUAACUACGUG
Molecule: ribosomal RNA, 497 nt
Filed under: uncultured bacterium
Lineage: Bacteria
Description: partial 16S ribosomal RNA
Rfam family: Bacterial small subunit ribosomal RNA
Source: RNAcentral